UAUUACCAGAAGCGACGGCAGAAUGAAGGUCAGGCUAAAGACCUUACUAGACAAGCCGAGAGGUGGUGCAUGGCGAUCGUCAGUUCGUGGUGUGAACUAUCCGGUUAAGUCCGGUAACGAACGAGACCCUCAUUUACAGUUGCCACUGGAUUAGCGAUAAUUCAAGCACUCUGUCAAGACCGCCUUCGUUUAAGAAGGAGGAAGGAGAGGGCAACGGUACGUCAGUAUGCCCCGAAUCUCCAGGGCUACACGCGGCAUACAUAGGCUGGCACAAUGGGCUGCAACUCAGAGAUGAGGAGCCAAUCCCUAAAACCAGUCCCGGUCCGGAUUGAGGGCUGAAACUCGCCCUCAUGAAGUUGGAAUCCCUAGUAAUCGCUUGUCACUAACGAGCGGUGAAUACGUCCCU
Molecule: ribosomal RNA, 406 nt
Filed under: uncultured bacterium
Lineage: Bacteria
Also listed under: 1 other name
Description: bacterial SSU rRNA
Rfam family: Archaeal small subunit ribosomal RNA
Source: RNAcentral